CCUGAGCCGCCAUUUCACGAUCGGACAGGCCACCGCAAAUCUGGAUAAUACGAUCAGACAACGUCGACUUACCGUGGUCGAUGUGGGCGAUGAUGGAAAAGUUACGUAUAUUCUUCAUAUUUAGAGUUAAUUAUGCCUUACGCGUAUCAUGAGGCCGCAGUUCUGCGCCUGACGUUUUUUAAUCCGAAAACGCCGCAUUCUACACUACAUCCACGAAACCAGGAAAUGCUCUUACCGCUAGCAUAACCGGAGUAAAUGACGAGAUCUUGCAGGAGUUGUAAGUAAAGAUAAGGGCCAGUGAAAUCACUGACCCAAUGGUGAGGAAGGUGUCUCAACACGGACUAAAUCUGGCGGCAAACCAACGCUAAGAAUAACCGGCUGCCAUGACUGCCGGGUGGCUAAGCCCGCUGAAAGACCACGGGCCAGCAAAAAACCGCCAACGCCCCCCAGAAUUGCCCCACACAGCGAAGCGAAGUCAUUGGCAAACAGAAACUGGAAUAUCGACGCCAUCACGAAUAGCCCGACUAACGGCACCAUAUAGACCAACAUCGCUGACCCCAGCAGGCUGCUCUCCGCAAUACCCAGUUCCACUUUUUGCCCGCCCGACAACGGUUGUUCAUAUGGAACGCUAAUGGUAUGACUGGUUUGCGGACCAAGCUUAUUCAGCACCCGACUACCGCAACCGGCGCGGGAAGCGCAGCUACUGCAGGAUGCCUUAACAUCGCAGUGCACCUGCGCAAUGCCGUUACUCCAGAAAACAACCGUCGCCCACUCUUUGAUCAUUGUGCUGCCCCGAAUUUAAUACUGUCGGCAAUACG
This 818-nucleotide non-coding RNA is filed under the name Klebsiella indica. RNAcentral describes it as "antisense RNA of rseC mRNA". It matches the Rfam family "antisense RNA of rseC mRNA". The record is from RNAcentral. Lineage: Bacteria; Pseudomonadati; Pseudomonadota; Gammaproteobacteria; Enterobacterales; Enterobacteriaceae.